UGCCGACCGCUGCGCCGCUCGCGCGGUG
This 28-nucleotide small RNA is filed under the name Bombyx mori (domestic silkworm). Its description in RNAcentral is "ovarian small RNA-8559". Lineage: Eukaryota; Metazoa; Arthropoda; Insecta; Lepidoptera; Bombycidae. The record is from RNAcentral.